Long non-coding RNA from Halichondria panicea, 923 nucleotides. RefSeq lists it as uncharacterized. The transcript is spliced from 2 exons. NCBI's taxonomy places the organism in Eukaryota, Metazoa, Porifera, Demospongiae, Suberitida, Halichondriidae. The record is from RefSeq and is a predicted model, not a curated record.
UACACACACACACACACACACACACACACACACACACACACACACACACACACACACACACACACACACACACACACACACACACACACACACACACACACACACACACACACACACACACACAUGCACACACACAAAAAUAAACAAACUGUAUAGAGUACAUGCAUACUGUACCACCCCUUAGCAAUGAGCCCCACCCACUCUAGAAAGCUAUGGUGAUGGGGCUCAUUUCUGACUUAGCACUUUACUUUUGUCAGGCACAAACAACCGACUCUAUAGCUCAACUUUGCAAGGUUCACUGAUUCUGCGAUCAAUCUUGUUUUAUUUGUGCAUUAUAUGCACUUUUAACCCUUUCCCGGCUUUGGACGACAUAUGUCGUCCAGCAGACCGAGAUUAUUCAAAAAUGUGCUGUGCAGGCUGUGUUGGAGCUAUGCACACACUGUAGGUACCAGCACAUGCGCAUUGAGCUGCUCUUUCACAUGGUAUUUUCAACAUCUUGCUUCGAGGUACGCUUUGUGCAGUACCGUCGAAAGAAAAGUGACCGUUUGAUGAUGACUUCAAGAUCUUUGUAGUACAACCUCAGUGGGGCUCUAGAGCUGCUAGACAGUGAGAAUAUCGAUGCUUAUGGCCUUGUAGAGUGAGAGGACAGUGACUGGGAUCGUAGCUAGGUAGGAAGCUACCUCAAGCUAAAAAAUAAAGAGCCUGAGGAGCCUGAAGGAGCUGGACCAAGUUUCUGGAUCUGGUGAAGAACGUUUCCCGGGAAAAGGGCGUCUGCUGAUACGACCUCGCAGAGAAGUUUCGGCAGAUCCUGAUCGAACUAUGUCACCGUGAGAACAUUGAGAACACUUACUUAGUGUCUAUAGUCACUUUGUGCCUUCGUAUAAUAUUGUUUGUGUACAUAAUUGUGAAUGUUUGUAAAAAUC